RNAcentral lists this ribosomal RNA (253 nucleotides) under uncultured bacterium. Its description in RNAcentral is "partial 16S ribosomal RNA". It matches the Rfam family "Bacterial small subunit ribosomal RNA", at positions 524 to 776 of the family's 1533-position model. The record is from RNAcentral.
UACGUAGGUGACCAGCGUUGUCCGGAUUUACUGGGCGUAAAGAGCGCGCAGGCGGUCGUUCAAGUCGAGUGUGAAAGCCCCCGGCUUAACUGGGGAGGGUCAUUCGAUACUGCUCGGCUCGAAGACAGGAGAGGGAAGCGGAAUUCCUGGUGUAGCGGUGAAAUGCGUAGAGAUCAGGAAGAACACCGGUGGCGAAGGCGCUCUGCUAGGCCGUAACUGACACUGAGGGACGAAAGCUAGGGGAGCGAAUGGG